RNAcentral lists this ribosomal RNA (253 nucleotides) under uncultured bacterium. Its description in RNAcentral is "partial 16S ribosomal RNA". It matches the Rfam family "Bacterial small subunit ribosomal RNA", at positions 524 to 776 of the family's 1533-position model. The record is from RNAcentral.
GACGAACCGUGCGAACGUUGUUCGGAAUCACUGGGCUUAAAGGGCGCGUAGGCGGGUGCUCAAGUCCGGGGUGAAAUCCUCCAGCUCAACUGGAGAACUGCCUCGGAUACUGGGUGUCUCGAGUGUGGUAGGGGUAUGCGGAACUAUCGGUGGAGCGGUGAAAUGCGUUGAUAUCGAUAGGAACUCCGGUGGCGAAGGCGGCAUACUGGACCACUACUGACGCUGAUGCGCGAAAGCCAGGGGAGCAAACGGG